UCUGUUCUAAUCAGUGUGAAAACUGGUUUCCGACGUUUUUCGUUGGUCUUUUUCACAUUCAUUUUUGGAACUUCCGAGAAUGCUAGCUUGCUAGCUUUUCUUGGAACGGUCUCCGGGGGCUUUCACUAUCUCCCCCGCGAGGCCA
RNAcentral lists this small nuclear RNA (145 nucleotides) under Phytophthora ramorum (sudden oak death agent). Its description in RNAcentral is "U2 spliceosomal RNA". It matches the Rfam family "U2 spliceosomal RNA", at positions 39 to 185 of the family's 192-position model. From Rfam's summary of the family: U2 is a small nuclear RNA (snRNA) component of the spliceosome (involved in pre-mRNA splicing). Complementary binding between U2 snRNA (in an area lying towards the 5' end but 3' to hairpin I) and the branchpoint sequence (BPS) of the intron results the bulging out of an unpaired adenosine, on the BPS, which initiates a nucleophilic attack at the intronic 5' splice site, thus starting the first of two transesterification reactions that mediate splicing. The record is from RNAcentral. Lineage: Eukaryota; Oomycota; Peronosporomycetes; Peronosporales; Peronosporaceae.